Erythranthe guttata (spotted monkey flower) is the source of this 2467-nucleotide non-coding RNA. NCBI's taxonomy places the organism in Eukaryota, Viridiplantae, Streptophyta, Magnoliopsida, Lamiales, Phrymaceae. The record is from RefSeq and is a predicted model, not a curated record.
AUCAAAACCCCAAGAAAUAAAAAAAUUAUCGUAGUAGUCAAAAUUUAGGUGAGAGAGAGAGAGAGAGAGGUGUAGAGAGAGAAAGUGUGGCAUCUCUGGUUUCUUCUCCGUAGGUAAUGCCGUUUUCCCUUCAGGUUGUGUUAAAUUACGAGUUAAAAAACCGAAUAAUAUUAUCUAGGAUAUGGAGAGAGUUUACCUCUGGUCAGAUAGUCACCAGCACCGGAUUUUCCCAUUCCAGGAGCUUCUUGACUGGCGGUGCCUCAUCCUUGGAGAUUUUCUUGUUUCCUUUGUCAAUUGGACUUAGUGAACAAACCAUAUUUCUUUCAAAAUAAAUAACCCAAAAAAAAAUCAAUGGUGGAUCUUUUUUAGUGCACUUGUAAAGUGAGUUGCAUAAUCGUAAUCUAUAGUGGAAGCUGGUUUGUGCUGUCAAUCCGGUUACGCUGUUAAUCUUGUGCAAUUCGUUUGUCGUUAAGUGCAUGGCGGAUACAAUAUCCAUCUCAAGGUCUCAAGCUGUGAAGUAUUAAAAAGAAGUGCAUACUUGUGCAUUGUGGCUGUGGGCAACAGAACUGCAGUCAAUCUACUUCUGUUUUGAUUUAUUGACGGUGAAAGCUUUGGUUGACCAUGUUCUUGAGCCUAGGUUUUGUCGGUCCGUUUUGGUAGAAGAUGUUUUGAUUAGGAAUGUUUUACAAAUAAGGCUUCGAAGCCCGUCCAUCGUAGUUCUGUAGGCUCUUCUACACUUAAGAAGACUUGGAGAAUUGAUGGUGGAUUUUUGCUGAAUUAGCCAGACCGUUUAGUAGUAUAUAUUUACAGUCGAUUUCGCGGGUGUGACAUUUCAGUAGAGUUUGUUGAAUAAGCGGCUAUUUUUGCGGUUCCUGCAGUUGAAUUGCAAAGAUGGAAAGGUUUACAAUCAUUAAGGAAGUCGGUAAUGGUUCGUUUGGGAAUGUGUGGCGUGCUCUAAGUAAGAAGACCGGUGAAGUGGUUGCAAUAAAGAAAAUGAAGAAGAAAUAUUAUUCAUGGGAAGAAUGUAUAAAUUUGAGAGAAGUGAAGUCGCUGAGGAAAAUGAGCCAUCCGAACAUAGUGAAGCUCAAGGAAGUAAUCAGAGAAAACGAUGUUUUGUACUUUGUCUUCGAGUACAUGGAAUGCAAUCUAUACCAAGUUAAUUGCCCUUUACUUGAAGUCUUGAAUAGGUAAAAGUGUAACUACCUUGCUAAUAUUUGUCAACAAUAACUUUUGCAUAAUCUAACUGUAACGGUGCUUGUAACAGAGAACUUGCUAGCGACUGGAGAUACUAUAAAAAUUGCUGAUUUUGGUCUGGCUCGUGAGAUUGACGAUCAGCCUCCAUUUACUGAAUAUGUCUCUACACGCUGGUACCGUGCCCCAGAAGUACUCCUUCAGUCCCCAAUUUAUGGUCCUCCAGUUGACAUGUGGGCAAUGGGUGCAAUAAUGGCUGAACUAUUCACACUCCGUGCUCUAUUCCCGGGUUCAAGUGAGGCGGAUGAAAUUUACAAGAUAUGUUGCGUACUUGGCAGCCCAACGAGGUGGGAAUGGUCGGAAGGGCUUCAACUUGCUAGUGCUAUGAAUUACCAGUUCCCUCGACUUCCUGGAGUCAAUCUGUCAGUGCUAAUGCCAGGUGUCAGUGAAGAUGCAGUUGAUCUUAUUACAUCGUUGUGUUCGUGGGACCCGUACAAGAGGCCUACAGCCAUGGAGGCACUUCAACAUCCUUUCUUCCAGAGUUGCUUCUACGUUCCACCAUCUCUGCGUUCGAAAGCUGCUGUCACAAAAACUCCCCCUGGUUAUGAAGUUGGAGCUAGGGGGGUUUUGGAACAAAAAUGUGAUAGGAUAUACCCUGGGAAUUUAUCGAACCCAAAUCCAAUGAAUAGGUUUCCUUCUGCCAAAUCACUCUUACCGGUGAAUUCAGGUGUGCAAAGAAAGUUGGACAUGAAUAAUCAGGAUCUUACUAAAAAUGAUAGAAACCAAAACUAUGUGAAGCAACAGCAAAAGUAUCGUCCACCUGGAAUAUUGAAUGGUCCACCUGGUUACGUGGGAAAGGCGCGUGGAGUUUCUGAAGCAGCUGAGAAGUUAGCAAACAUGACAUUGGCCGCUGAUCGGCCGCUGUAUGCAAAGGUGCUAGCAACAGUGCAGCCGUCUAUGAAGGCUGGAGGAAGGCACGACCAAUCGGAUUUUUACCUUGGACCACCUCAAGAACAGAGAUCUUACAUCAGGAAGGUGGUUUGAUAGAGACGAAAUACCGUAAUAAUCGAUCCAGUUUGACAAAAUUAAGGUUUAUCUAUUUGGGUUUUUGGCGAAAUGAUCUUAUGAGCCUGGCUUAUAAAUUUAUGUUACAAUAUCGAAGAGCAUCGUCCUUUUUCUUUUCUAGUGUGUUCGGUUUCUGUUUGUAUUGUUGGAUUACUCUAUUUCUAUGAGUUAAUAAAAGUUGUUUGGUUUCUCUUAAACCAUUUUAAGAAAA